RNAcentral lists this ribosomal RNA (437 nucleotides) under Protobonellia sp. LP-2014. RNAcentral describes it as "partial 16S ribosomal RNA". It matches the Rfam family "Bacterial large subunit ribosomal RNA", at positions 1929 to 2605 of the family's 2925-position model. The record is from RNAcentral. Lineage: Eukaryota; Metazoa; Annelida; Polychaeta; Echiuroidea; Bonelliidae.
GGCCGCGGAAACCCGUGCAAAGGUAGCAUAAUCAUUUCCCCCUUAAUUAGGGGCUUGUAUGAACGGAUAAACGAGAAAUUAGCUGUCUCUAAAAUACAAAAUAUAAUUUAUCCUUUAUGUGAAUAGACAUAAAUAACUUUUGAAGACAAGAAGACCCUAUUGCGCUUUAUUGUUUCUUAGCUUUUUCAUAGCUUUAAUCAAUUUCGUUGGGGCGACACCGGAUACUCUAAACCAUCCGAAAUCCUUAAGGAAAGCCCUCCUCAUUUAUUGACCCUAAUAAGACUUAAGAAUAAGCUACCAUAGGGAUAACAGGCUAAUCCCCUUUAAGAGCCCAAAUCGACAAGGGGGUUUGGCACCUCGAUGUUGGCUUAGGGUAUCAUAUAGGCGCAGCCGCCUAUAAAUGAAGGUUUGUUCAACCUACUAAACCCUACGUGAUC